Long non-coding RNA from Meriones unguiculatus (Mongolian gerbil), 3004 nucleotides. RefSeq lists it as uncharacterized. The record is from RefSeq and is a predicted model, not a curated record. NCBI's taxonomy places the organism in Eukaryota, Metazoa, Chordata, Mammalia, Rodentia, Muridae. The transcript is spliced from 3 exons.
AGAGAAGAGGGUUUGUAAUGUGCUUGGGCUCGCGUCCAACUGAGCAGGUGCAGUUGGAAGGAAACAGGCUGCAGUUCUGGGACAGCCACAAGGGUUUAGUUUUAAAGACCUGCGGUCCCAGCACCCGAUUUAACCUAUGAAUUCUUUGAUGCUGCUUAAGACCAGAAGACUGGUGAAAGGUUUUGCCACAUUCGCCACACUUGUAACGUUUCUCUGCCGUAUGAAUUCUUUGGUGUUUCGAACGUGCUGUAUCUCUGACCUCCGCCUCUAUCCUGUGAGCCCCUAAUUCCAACAAACCUGGGUGCACGGCAGCUGCUGCUUGUCUCUUCACCUCCGAAGGCUCUUGUCUUUGCUCCAGAAAUGUCACGAGGUAUGGCUUACAGGAAGCAAGACCUGUUUGUGGAAAGGGGGAACAACACUGUCAGUGUGUUCUCCUGGAAAAGAAUGUGUCCUGCUCACCCAUGUGUGUAAAGAAUGAGAAGCUGCAGUAAAAGACUGUAGAAGACCAGUUCUUGUUUCCUGACAAGAACAGCUGAAUGCUUCAGAGGAAUUUACGAUAUACAGGCCCUGAGCUUCACUCCACCCAUUUAAGGAAAGACAUUAAAACUGAAGAGUGUGACAUUCUCUACAACACAUAUGGCCCUGCUCCUGCCUCUUAACUUCUACACUACCACUGAUGUGGAAGAUACUUGUAACAAAACAAAAUUUUUAAAAAGGUCACAAGCACAAGGAAACAAGAUAGUUCUAAGGUAAAAGAAUAAUCUCAAUUCUCCUUAAAUGUAGCCCAAUGAACCUCAUUGUUGGAAGCACAAGUUUCUAUAUGAUGGUGUACAAUGGGAGCAAGUUUUAUAUUGACAAUAAAUUAAAAAUUCACCAUGGAAGUAUUCCUCACCCAGGAACUCAAGGUUGCUGAAAUUCUCCAGCAUCACAUCCCUGUACAAAUUCCACUGAGUGGGGCCUAGGCAUUCCCACUCUUGUGCCGAGAAAUAAAUGGCUACAUCCCAGAAUGACAGCAGAUCCUGAAAUAAAGAAAACAAAUGAACACUGCACAUUAUGUUAAUUAAGACUGUCAAUAAUAACACAAAUACCAAGAGGCAUCAUGUACUUCUCUGUACAAAUCUAAAGGUCACCCAGCAUGAGUGGAGAGCUGGAGGUGUUUCUGACAUAGGGAGGUAAAGAUCCCUAAAAUAGUUCUGAGGUGGUGCUAGGAUGCUACAGAAGACUCAUCAUUAAGAAAAAUAAAUGGCAGAAGAACCCAGAAAGUAGUUUUAAGGAUCAUAAAAUGGAGAACAAAUGCAUCUGCAAAACAGAAUUUGGAUCAGUGUGUUAGCACACGCCUUCAAUCCCAGCACUUGGGAUUUAGGCCAGCCUGGUCUACAAAGAGAGUUUCAGGACUGCUAGGGCUGUUACACAGAGGAACUCUUAAAGACCAAAAACCAAAAACCAAAAAUCAAACUCAAAACAAGAGGUUAAUUCCCAGCACACACAUGGCAGCUCAUAACUGUCUGUAAGUCCAGUUGUAGAAGAUAAAUUUGUUAGACAUGCAUAGUAGUAAAACAACCAUACACAUAAAAUAAAUAGUCCUUACCCUGGUGACUAAGAAUUCAGAUAUAUGAGCCUAUGGGACGAUUCUUAUUUAUUCUACCACAAUCAUCAUGGCUGCCUUGACAAAAGGAUCCUAGAUAUGUACAAGUCUAUUCAUAAAUCUUAAUAAUUUUUACUAAGGGCAAAUUCAGAGAAACAAACAAUAUGAAAUCAAAUAACUAUACUUACAACAGAUUACAAUGUCUGUUUUCCACAAAAUAGAGAGGAAUAUGAAAAUGUAAAUAGAAUGGAUCCUAUCAAUCAGAGUGAGGUCUGUUGGCUGCUUUAUAGUAAGCCUGAGAAUAUUCCAGAACACAUCCCUGAAUAUUUCUUAUAGUUCUUACUUCGGAGCUAUGUUCUUCCACUGCAUUUUUAGAAGCCACAAUUGUUUCUUGUGUCACUGCCAGCCAGCAUGAGCCCCUCAUAGCUACUUUUCUCCUUCUUCAUUGUAGGUAGUUCCUUACAUUUUUUAGUUGUUGUUUUUGGUUUUGUUUUGUUUUUUGCAGCUGUCCACUUGAGUUUCUGGAAAAUUUCACAAUCUUUCUCCUUUCUUCAGCAUUGUAAAGACAUGGCCUCUUGUAGAGACAUAUGUUCUUCUAAAUACUCUCCGUUUCCAUGACAUUGUGCCAAAGACUGAGAGCUGAAUGGAUUUCCUAACUCAUGCACAUAAAGCUUAUUGAUCCACCCAAAGGGAUAGAAAGAUAACACUGUCAUAUCCUAAGAUUCCAUAAAGAUACAACCAUUCCCCAUGGAAAUGCGGGGCACCUAUGCCUCCCUGAGGAUGAGAUGUGCCAGAACAAACCUUUGUGAGAAACCCACAGACUGCUGAUUAGUGUCAGCACAGCAGAAGGUGGCAAUCCAAAGAAGAGUGAAAAAGGGGCUGGGAACACAGCAUAGUGCAGACAUUCUUGCUUAGAUGCAGAAGGCCUGGGUUCGAUUCCCAGCAAGAAGAGGUGGACAGAAGGAAAAGUCACGGUGCCAUGCUAGCUCAUGCCCACUCAUGUGUGGACUAGCAAGGCAGGAUUUGCUGGAUACUCUACAAUUUUCUGGCUCCUUCCUCAGGAUAUUAAGAGUAGAGAAGACAUUUAAUUUCUGUCUCAUUUCAGCAUAAUCAAGGGCCAAAUUCUUUCUUGCCUCCAUCAGAAAGCCAAUGGGAAAGACAUGCCAUCUUGAAUGGCCAAUGAGAAGAGGCUACAGUCCAAGAGACAAAUUCCUACAAGAUGGUAGAGAAGCCACUGAAAUCCUAGCUGGAGGGAUCACUGUGAUUCUUAAAUCCUAAUGUCAAUAAGCAUUGUAAGGCCUAUGAAUAGAAAAUAUGGACAAGCAAUAGAAAAAAAAAAAAGAAAGAAAAACAACGAAACUACAAAUAUGCUCUGAACAUAAGGUCUAUGGUAAUGGUCUGAAUGAAAAUUCAGGAAAG